RNAcentral lists this ribosomal RNA (407 nucleotides) under uncultured bacterium. RNAcentral's name for it is "partial 16S ribosomal RNA". It matches the Rfam family "Bacterial small subunit ribosomal RNA", at positions 28 to 526 of the family's 1533-position model. The record is from RNAcentral.
GACGAACGCUGGCGGCGUGCCUAAUACAUGCAAGUAGAACGCAGUUGCGAACGGGUGAGUAACGCGUAGGUAACUGCCUGGUAGCGGGGGAUAACUAUUGGAAACGAUAGCUAAUACCGCAUACUACCAGAUGGACCUGCGUUGUAUUAGCUAGUUGGUGGGGUAACGGCUCACCAAGGCAACGAUACAUAGCCGACCUGGGAGGGUGGUCGGCCACACUGGGGUGUGGACACGGCCCAGGCUCCUACGGGGGGCAGCGUUAGGGAAUCUGCGGGAAUGGACGGAAGUCUGACCGAGCAACUCCGCGUGAGUGAAGAAGGUUUUCGGAUCGUAAAGCUCUUUUGUAAGGGAAGCGGUAUCUAACCAGAAAGGGACGGCUAACUACGUGCCAGCAGCCGCGGUAAUAC